GUCCGUCGCCCAUCUCGGGCAUUUCUCCCUGAGACUUAGCCGGGGCCUUCGGGCCUCGGCUCCUUCCUUCAUCACC
Molecule: small RNA, 76 nt
Filed under: Methylobacterium brachythecii
Lineage: Bacteria; Pseudomonadati; Pseudomonadota; Alphaproteobacteria; Hyphomicrobiales; Methylobacteriaceae
Description: suhB
Rfam family: Makes More Granules Regulator RNA (mmgR)
About the family: SuhB later renamed mmgR (makes more granules regulator) was a putative non-coding RNA found multiple times in the Agrobacterium tumefaciens genome and related alpha-proteobacteria. Other non-coding RNAs uncovered in the same analysis include: speF, ybhL, metA, and serC.
Source: RNAcentral